CUAUAUAUGCAGUCUGUCUAGAAUGAGCACAAAGUUGGAGCUCAAAGCUUGGGAAAUUCUUUUGGUAAAUAAAACCCUUUUUCAUAGCAUCUUAUGAACUGUCUUGUGUUAAGUCCUCUCUUAAUUAAAUUGGAAUAAUCGGUGGACGAAUUUCAUGUCACUAAUAUAGUAAAUACUGCAAAUCUGUGGUAAUUGUGAAGCUGUUUCAAAUUUCAUUGACUGUAACAAAUAUUUUCUGGGUUCUGUAUUGUUCGAUCUGAAAAGUUUCUCUUUGUGUUCAGUGAAUGGACAAAUGAGAAAAAUAUUUAUGAGAGAUGGAAUCAUGGGCGAAAAGCAACGGGAUUUUAAGAUUUUCAGCAUCCAUGAAUAGAGUAUUUAUUGAAAUUCAUGUGAUAGAACAUAUAUAUUGAGCACAUCACUACAUGUGCUUAUGUGCUCAGAGGCCUUUAAUUGGCUCUCUUAUUCCACACCGCUAUAUAUAUAUAGGUGUGCAAUACCUUAGUUUAGGUGUGCAAUACCUUAGUUUGUGACACUUAAUAUUAUCACUGACUAGCUAGUAGCUACUAGGUUCAUGGGCAGAAGGGCAGGUAAACAAACUUGUAGGAUCAUCCUUGGGAUAACUAUAAGCAUCUGGGCACCUCUCCUUGAAAUACUUUGAGAAAGUAGUAGGACCACAGGUGCCUGAAUUGCAACAAUACUCGUCAGUUUUGAACACAGGACAUGGUCCAUUGCACCCUCCAAGGACCUUCAAUUCAUUAGGGCACUGUCCAACGAUAUCUGCUGUGCAUUUGAUCACGCGGGUACAACCUGCAGAGGCCGAGCUGAAUUCCAUAGGAACAUUAAAUCCAUCAAUGUUAGAGAUAUCAAUGAAAUCUUGGUUUGCAAAUUGGCCGAUUGCGUAUUCGGCUAGGGUGUUAGGGGGUGAACCAUAGCCUUGGCAUGCUAGGAGCCCAUUGCAGUCACCAGUCUGGCAGUUGCCCCUUCCAGCACCAUCAAAUUGGCAAUUGGUUCGAGCCCAAAUGCGUGCUUGUGUGGUGCCAGGGUCAGCACUAAUGGUCCAUGUCUCACCAUUGUUAAGUUGCCUGCCACCCCCAGGCUUAGCUGCAGCCCAAACCGUGUAGGGACAUUUGUUUGUUAUAUCAAAUGUGGCUGCAUGGACAGAGGGGAAAUGAAGGGCAGCAAAAAGGAAGGAAAAGAUUGAGAGGGUUUUAAGGGAGCUCAUUCUGGACUUCGAGUGAAGGCAAGUUCUAUAGGUUUUUGUGUUUUUGUGGUAGCUAGUGUGGGUGAGGAGAUGCAGAUGCGGGGGGAGUUUAUAUAGCAAUUGGGUUGGCUAUGGCUGCUUUCAACACUUCAAUGUGAUUGCGUGAUUAAUUUUAGUUUGC
This 1382-nucleotide long non-coding RNA is filed under the name Populus trichocarpa (black cottonwood). Its description in RNAcentral is "long non-coding RNA (PTRI_LNC000103)". Lineage: Eukaryota; Viridiplantae; Streptophyta; Magnoliopsida; Malpighiales; Salicaceae. The record is from RNAcentral.